RNAcentral lists this ribosomal RNA (253 nucleotides) under uncultured bacterium. RNAcentral describes it as "partial 16S ribosomal RNA". It matches the Rfam family "Bacterial small subunit ribosomal RNA", at positions 524 to 776 of the family's 1533-position model. The record is from RNAcentral.
UACGUUGGGUGCUAGCGUUGUCCGGAAUCAUUGGGCGUAAAGAGCGUGUAGGCGGUCCGGUAAGUCCGCUGUGAAAGUCCGGGGCUCAACCCUCGAAUGCCGGUGGAUACUGUCGGGCUAGAGUGCGGAAGAGGCGAGUGGAAUUCCUGGUGUAGCGGUGAAAUGCGCAGAUAUCAGGAGGAACACCUAUUGCGAAGGCAGCUCGCUGGGACGUUACUGACGCUGAGACGCGAAAGCGUGGGGAGCAAACAGG